ACUACGGGAUGCAGCAGUGGGGGAUAUUGCACAAUGGGGGGAACCCUGAUGCAGCGACGCCGCGUGGGUGAAGAAGCGCCUCGGCGCGUAAAGCCCUGUCAGCAGGGAAGAAAAUGACGGUACCUGCAGAAGAAGCCCCGGCUACCUACGUGCCAGCAGCCGCAGUAAUACGUAGGGGGCAAGGGUUAUCCGGAUUACCUGGGUGUAAAGGGGGCGCAGACGGCGAUGAAAGCCAGGAGUGAAAGCCCGGGGCCAAAACCCGGGACUGCUGUUGGAACUGCGUGGCUGGAGUGCAGGAGGGGCAGGCGGAAUUCCUGGUGUAGCGGUGAAAUGCGUAGAUAUCAGGAGGAACACCGGUUGCGAAGGCGGCCUGCUGGACUGCAACUGACGUUGAGGCCCGAAAGCGUGGGGAGCAAACAGGAUUAGAUACCCUUGUAGUC
This 440-nucleotide ribosomal RNA is filed under the name uncultured bacterium. RNAcentral's name for it is "partial 16S ribosomal RNA". It matches the Rfam family "Bacterial small subunit ribosomal RNA", at positions 338 to 795 of the family's 1533-position model. The record is from RNAcentral.